Rhincodon typus (whale shark) is the source of this 71-nucleotide non-coding RNA. Lineage: Eukaryota; Metazoa; Chordata; Chondrichthyes; Orectolobiformes; Rhincodontidae. The record is from the annotation of a RefSeq genome assembly.
GCGUUGGUGGUUCAGUGGUAGAAUUCUUGCCUGCCAAGUAGGAGGCCCGGGUUCGAUUCCCGGCCAUUGCA